Molecule: ribosomal RNA, 453 nt
Filed under: uncultured bacterium
Lineage: Bacteria
Description: bacterial SSU rRNA
Rfam family: Bacterial small subunit ribosomal RNA
Source: RNAcentral
UGUGGUUUUUAGGGUGAAAGGUGACCAAUUCUUGAAAGUUGUCGUUAAAGGAGGGGUCCGCGUACCAUUAGCUAGUUGGUGGGGUAAUGGCCUACCAAGGUUACGAUGGUUAGCUGGUCUGAGAGGAUGAUCAGCCACACUGGAACUGAAACACGGUCCAGACUCCUACGGGAGGCAGCAGUGAGGAAUUUUGCGCAAUGGGGGAAACCCUGACGCAGCAACGCCGCGUGAGUGAAGAAGGUUUUCGGAUCGUAAAGCUCUGUCAAGUGGGAAAAAUGUUUUACUAUAAAUAGUAGUAGAAUUUGAUGGUACCACUAGAGGAAGCACCGGCUAACUCCGUGCCAGCAGCCGCGGUAAUACGGAGGNUGCAAGCGUUGGUUCGGAAUUACUGGGCGUAAGAGCGUGUAGGCGGUAUGGUAAGUCAGAUGUGAAAGCCCUGGNCUNACCCAAGGA